AACGAACGCUGGCGGCAUGCCUAACACAUGCAAGUCGAACGAGACCUUCGGGUCUAGUGGCGCACGGGUGCGUAACGCGUGGGAACCUGCCCUUAGGUUCGGAAUAACUCCCCGAAAGGGGUGCUAAUACCGGAUAAUGUCUUCGGACCAAAGAUUUAUCGCCUUUGGAUGGGCCCGCGUUGGAUUAGCUAGUUGGUAGGGUAAAAGCCUACCAAGGCGACGAUCCAUAGCUGGACUGAGAGGAUGAUCAGCCACACUGGGACUGAGACACGGCCCAGACUCCUACGGGAGGCAGCAGUGGGGAAUAUUGGACAAUGGGCGAAAGCCUGAUCCAGCAAGGCCGGGUGAGUGAUGAAGGCGUUAGGGUUGUAAAGCUCUUUUACCCGGGAUGAUAAUGACAGUACCGGGAGAAUAAGCUCCGGCUAACUCCGUG
This 433-nucleotide ribosomal RNA is filed under the name uncultured bacterium. Its description in RNAcentral is "partial 16S ribosomal RNA". It matches the Rfam family "Bacterial small subunit ribosomal RNA", at positions 29 to 507 of the family's 1533-position model. The record is from RNAcentral.